This 685-nucleotide ribosomal RNA is filed under the name Centrolene buckleyi (Buckley's giant glass frog). RNAcentral's name for it is "partial large subunit ribosomal RNA". It matches the Rfam family "Bacterial large subunit ribosomal RNA", at positions 1597 to 2587 of the family's 2925-position model. Lineage: Eukaryota; Metazoa; Chordata; Amphibia; Anura; Centrolenidae. The record is from RNAcentral.
GUAGCAACUCAACAAGAAAACCCUACUACUCCCUAUGUUAACCUAACACCAGAGCAUCACAGGAAAGAUUAAAAGAAAGAAAAGGAACUCGGCAAAUAUUAACCUCGCCUGUUUACCAAAAACAUCGCCUCUUGAUAAAAUAUAAGAGGUCCAGCCUGCCCAGUGACUCUGUUCAACGGCCGCGGUAUCCUAACCGUGCGAAGGUAGCGUAAUCACUUGUUCUUUAAAUGAGGACUAGUAUGAAUGGCACCACGAAGGUUAUACUGUCUCUUCUUUCCAAUCAGUGAAACUAAUCUCCCCGUGAAGAAGCGAGGAUAAAAAUAUAAGACGAGAAGACCCUAUGGAGCUUUAAACCACGCAACACCUGCUUUAACUUAACUAAAUUUCAGAAAACCCCNUCUUUAUCCCAGCAGAAUGAUUGCCAGUUUUAGGUUGGGGUGACCGCGGAGCAAAAAACAACCUCCACAUUGAAAGGGCACCUACCCCUUAGCCAAGAGCCACACCUCCACGCACCAAUAAAAUGACAUUAAUUGACCCAAUAUAUUGACCAACGAACCAAGUUACCCUAGGGAUAACAGCGCAAUCCACUUCAAGAGCCCCUAUCGACAAGUGGGUUUACGACCUCGAUGUUGGAUCAGGGUAUCCCGGUGGUGCAGCCGCUACCAAAGGUUCGUUUGUUCAACGA